UAAGGAAUAUUGCUCAAUGGGAGAAAUCCUGAAGCAGCAACGCCGCGUGGAGGAUGAAGGGUCUAUGACUUGUAAACUCCUGUAAAGAAGGAAAAAAUUCCCAUUUGAUGGGAGAUGAUGGUACUUCUGGAGUAAGCCCCGGCUAACUACGUGCCAGCAGCCGCGGUAAUACGUAGGGGGCAAGCGUUGUCCGGAUUUACUGGGUGUAAAGGGUGCUCAGGCGGAUUUGUAAGUCAGAGGUGAAAUCUUACAGCUUAACUGUGAAACUGCCUUGGAUACUGCAAGCCUAGAGUAUGGAAGAGNGUGAUGGAAUAUCUGGUGUAGCAGUGAACUGCGUAGAUAUCAGAUAGAACACCAAUGGCGAAGGCAGUCACUUGGUCCAUUACUGACGCUAAAGCACGAAAGCGUGGGUAGCAAACA
RNAcentral lists this ribosomal RNA (420 nucleotides) under uncultured bacterium. Its description in RNAcentral is "bacterial SSU rRNA". It matches the Rfam family "Bacterial small subunit ribosomal RNA", at positions 355 to 774 of the family's 1533-position model. The record is from RNAcentral.